GAGUUUGAUCCUGGCUCAGGAUGAACGCUAGCGAUAGGCUUAACACAUGCAAGUCGAGGGGCAGCAUGAUCUUACCUUGCUAAGGUUGAUGGCGACCGGCGCACGGGUGCGUAACGCGUAUGCAACUUGCCUUACAGAGGGGGAUAACCCGUUGAAAGACGGGCUAAAACCGCAUACACUUGUAUUAUUGCAUGAUAUUACAAGGAAAUAUUUAUAGCUGUAAGAUAGGCAUGCGUCCCAUUAGCUGGUUGGUGAGGUAACGGCUCACCAAGGCGACGAUGGGUAGGGGAACUGAGAGGUUUAUCCCCCACACUGGUACUGAGACACGGACCAGACUCCUACGGGAGGCAGCAGUGAGGAAUAUUGGUCAAUGGGCGAGAGCCUGAACCAGCCAAGUCGCGUGAAGGAAGACAGUCCUAAGGAUUGUAAACUUCUUUUAUACGGGAAUAACGGGCGAUACGAGUAUUGCAUUGAAUGUACCGUAAGAAUAAGCAUCGGCUAACUCCGUGCCAGCAGCCGCGGUAAUACGGAGGAUGCGAGCGUUAUCCGGAUUUAUUGGGUUUAAAGGGUGCGUAGGUUGUUCGGUAAGUCAGCGGUGAAACCUGAGCGCUCAACGUUCAGCCUGCCGUUGAAACUGCCGGGCUUGAGUUCAGUGGCGGCAGGCGGAAUUCGUGGUGUAGCGGUGAAAUGCAUAGAUAUCACGAGGAACUCCGAUUGCGAAGGCAGCUUGCCAUACUGCGACUGACACUGAAGCACGAAGGCGUGGGUAUCAAACAGGAUUAGAUACCCUGGUAGUCCACGCAGUAAACGAUGAUUACUAGGAGUUUGCGAUAUACCGUCAAGCUUCCACAGCGAAAGCGUUAAGUAAUCCACCUGGGG
RNAcentral lists this ribosomal RNA (879 nucleotides) under uncultured bacterium. RNAcentral's name for it is "bacterial SSU rRNA". It matches the Rfam family "Bacterial small subunit ribosomal RNA", at positions 9 to 878 of the family's 1533-position model. The record is from RNAcentral.